Molecule: ribosomal RNA, 234 nt
Filed under: uncultured bacterium
Lineage: Bacteria
Description: partial 16S ribosomal RNA
Rfam family: Bacterial small subunit ribosomal RNA
Source: RNAcentral
UGAGUAACCUGCCCUUAACUCUGGGAUAGCCCUGGGAAACUGGGUCUAAUACCGGAUAUGACUCCUCAUCGCGUGGUGGGGGGUGGAAAGCUUUAUUGUGGUUUUGGAUGGACUCGCGGCCUAUCAGCUUGUUGGUGAGGUAAUGGCUCACCAAGGCGACGACGGGUAGCCGGCCUGAGAGGGUGACCGGCCACACUGGGACUGAGACACGGCCCAGACUCCUACGGGAGGCAG